RNAcentral lists this ribosomal RNA (720 nucleotides) under uncultured euryarchaeote. RNAcentral describes it as "bacterial SSU rRNA". It matches the Rfam family "Archaeal small subunit ribosomal RNA", at positions 148 to 873 of the family's 1478-position model. Lineage: Archaea; Methanobacteriati; Methanobacteriota. The record is from RNAcentral.
AAUACUCAAUAAAUAAAAGAUACGGGAAUGUUCUUUAAUCAAAAGUUCCGGCGCCUUAGGGUGGAUCGGCGGCCAAUUAGGUUGUUGUUGGAAUAACGCCCCAACAAGCCCGUAAUCGGUACGGGUGGUGGAAGCAACACCCAGAAGAUGGAAUCUAAAACACUAUUCCAGGCCCUACGGGGCGCAGCAGGCAAAAAAACUUUACAAUGCAGAAAAUUGUGAUAAGGCAACCCCGAGUGCCCUUAUACGCGGGCUGUCCUGUUGUUAAAAAUGCACAAAAAAAAAGGGCCGGGAAAGACCGGUGCCAGCCGCCGCGGUAAUACCGGCGGCUCGGGUGGUGACCAUUUUUAUUGGGCUUAAAGCGUUCGUAGCUGGAUUCUUAAUUCUCUGGGAAAAUCUGCAGGCUUAACCUGCAGGCGUUCAAAAAAUACUGGAAUUCAAGGAACCGGAAGAGGAAAGAGGUACUUCAGGGGAAGAAAUGAAAUUCUGUAUUCCUUGAGGAACCACCGAUGGCGAAGGCUUCUUACAAGAACGGCUUCAACAGUGAGGCACGAAAGCUGGGGGAGCGAACGGAAUUAAAUACCCCGGUAGUCCCAGCCGUAAACGAUGCUCGUUAGGUGUACUGAUGACCACAAGUCACCGGGCUGCCGAAGGAAAACCAUGAAACCUGCCGCCUGGGAAGUACGGUCGCAAGGAUGAAACUCAAAGGAAUUGACGCAA